CAGCUAACUGCCCUGGACGUGACGCCCUCUCAGGCGCUAACCAGGCAGGAGUGUUUGAAAUGCACAGACUCUCUUCGGCGUCAGGCCGCUGGGCACCGGAAACCCCUCAUCUCACUGGCUGGCUGAAGUCGCAGCAAACCCAGUUCCCCUGAUGCUCUCAAUUGGCAGGACAACCCAUUUCUAAAGCCAUCCUCCUACACCUAUAUAUGCUGUUACCUUCCUGAUUACUUCCUACAGCUGGAGGACCCUACUUUCAGACAGUUUAGGACCCAUGUUCCUCCAGACAGACCCCACCAUAGCCACCUCCACUGAACUGUGUGUGAACUGAUGAAGAAUGAGAGACUCCACUGAAGAGCAGGAUUUGAAAUGCUCUAGUGACCACUGUGUGCUAGGCAGUAUCACAAAGCCACAAACUGCUGUUUUUGCAGAGUAUUGGACUGUAUGUGCGACUAGCAGCUCCAGACAAUUCAUGGAAAUGUUGUUGUGUCCAACGUGAUGGUCGCAAUCUAUCCUUGUAAAUGCUUGUUUGCAUCAUUCCAAAAACCUCAAAAACCCAAAG
Long non-coding RNA from Mauremys reevesii (Reeves's turtle), 559 nucleotides. RefSeq lists it as uncharacterized. NCBI's taxonomy places the organism in Eukaryota, Metazoa, Chordata, Testudines, Geoemydidae. The record is from RefSeq and is a predicted model, not a curated record. The transcript is spliced from 3 exons.